CCCCCCGCCCCAACCCGCGCGCGGCCCUGCCGGGCCGAGCCGGGCCGGGCCGAGCAGCGGCUCCGCGGCCGGCAGCUGCCUCGAUGUUCUGCAUAAAGUCCUAUCUUAAUGAGAGGGAGGGAAUGAACGCUGCGUGAACCGAGAGCCCAGCUCUCCCCAAGCAAAGGCGGAGGAAGAAGACGAGGCGGGGGGGGGGCGACCAAAGCCGCCCUCUCCCCGGCGAGCGGAGCGGGUGGGGGCUGCUGCUGCCGCCGCCGCCGCCGCUGGCGGGGGCUGCGGCCACGGGAUGGCGCCGCCGCCGCCCGCUCGCACCUGGGGAAGCGGCGUCUCACCUGGGCUCCGGCUCGGCUCGGCUCGGCUCGGCAGGCUCCGGGCCUGCCUGCCUGCCCGCCUGCCGCCGGCGGCGGCAGCGGCUGGGAGGAGGCCAGGGCAGUGGCACCGCUCAUCUUAACGAAUUGCAAUAAAAGCGCUAUUCGAAGUGA
Molecule: long non-coding RNA, 482 nt
Organism: Rhea pennata
Lineage: Eukaryota; Metazoa; Chordata; Aves; Rheiformes; Rheidae
Exons: 2
Source: RefSeq, a predicted model, not a curated record